RNAcentral lists this ribosomal RNA (497 nucleotides) under uncultured bacterium. RNAcentral's name for it is "partial 16S ribosomal RNA". It matches the Rfam family "Bacterial small subunit ribosomal RNA", at positions 28 to 507 of the family's 1533-position model. The record is from RNAcentral.
GAUGAACGCUGGCGGCGUGCCUAAUACAUGCAAGUCGAGCGAACAGACGAGGAGCUUGCUCCUCUGACGUUAGCGGCGGACGGGUGAGUAACACGUGGAUAACCUACCUAUAAGACUGGGAUAACUUCGGGAAACCGGAGCUAAUACCGGAUAAUAUAUUGAACCGCAUGGUUCAAUAGUGAAAGACGGUUUUGCUGUCACUUAUAGAUGGAUCCGCGCCGCAUUAGCUAGUUGGUAAGGUAACGGCUUACCAAGGCAACGAUGCGUAGCCGACCUGAGAGGGUGAUCGGCCGCCCUGGAACUGAGACACGGUCCAGACUCCUACGGGAGGCAGCAGUAGGGAAUCUGCCGCAAUGGGCGAAAGCCUGACGGAGCAGCGCCGAGUGAGUGAUGAAGGUUUUCGGAUCGUAAAACUCUGUUAUUAGGGAAGAACAAAUGUGUAAGUAACUAUGCACGUCUUGACGGUACCUAAUCAGAAAGCCACGGCUAACUACGUG